Molecule: long non-coding RNA, 668 nt
Organism: Corvus hawaiiensis (hawaiian crow)
Lineage: Eukaryota; Metazoa; Chordata; Aves; Passeriformes; Corvidae
Exons: 3
Source: RefSeq, a predicted model, not a curated record
GCAGCGCGGGAGGGCUCGCUCCUUCUCUGCCUUCGCCGCCGUGAGGAGGAGGAGCGGCUGUGGUCGGGCCGGGCUCCCUCGGCUCGCCGCCAUGAGGGGCCGCCGCCAUGAGGUCUUCAGGCGAUGGGGGGGAUCGAGGUGACCCGGAGCUGUGGGUGGCCGGGAGCCGCCCGAAGGAGCAGCCCUGAGGGGACCCGACACCGUCGUGUGCGAAACCCCCGAGCCGUGCUGUGCUGGGACAGCCAAACGAGGCAUCCCCCAAACGAGGCAUCGCCGGGAGGGCACUGGAGCCUGCGGAGAGCAGAUGGGAAGGGACAGCCUGCCUGAGAGGCACAGCAAAAGCUCUGGAGCAACCUGGGUGAGGCAAGUGGUUGGUGUGGGGCUUGCUGGAGCAGCAGGAGUGGUCAGGAGAAAAGCUGUCGAUGCUGCUUUGAAGAUCCUUGUUUGAAAGGUAUUGGGAAGAUGGAAACCUGGAGCCCACAGUUUAAACAGGGCAGCUGGAGAAGGACUUGUUUCCAGGAUCUGGCUGUAGGAAUUGGAAACAUCAAAGGUGGUUUGGGGCAAGGUAUAACAAGAAUUACAUGUACAAUUUAUUGUUAAUCUCCUCUCACUGCUUGUUUAAAAUACAUUUUUGUAUGACCUCAAUUAAACAUUUAUAUUUAAGCUUG